Molecule: ribosomal RNA, 471 nt
Filed under: uncultured organism
Description: partial 16S ribosomal RNA
Rfam family: Bacterial small subunit ribosomal RNA
Source: RNAcentral
ACUCCUACGGGAGGCAGCAGUGGGGAAUUUUGGACAAUGGGCGAAAGCCUGAUCCAGCCAUGCCGCGUGCAGGAUGAAGGCCUUCGGGUUGUAAACUGCUUUUGUACGGAACGAAACGGCCUUUUCUAAUAAAGAGGGCUAAUGACGGUACCGUAAGAAUAAGCACCGGCUAACUACGUGCCAGCAGCCGCGGUAAUACGUAGGGUGCAAGCGUUAAUCGGAAUUACUGGGCGUAAAGCGUGCGCAGGCGGUUAUGUAAGACAGUUGUGAAAUCCCCGGGCUCAACCUGGGAACUGCAUCUGUGACUGCAUAGCUAGAGUACGGUAGAGGGGGAUGGAAUUCCGCGUGUAGCAGUGAAAUGCGUAGAUAUGCGGAGGAACACCGAUGGCGAAGGCAAUCCCCUGGACCUGUACUGACGCUCAUGCACGAAAGCGUGGGGAGCAAACAGGAUUAGAAACCCUUGUAGUCCCA